This 577-nucleotide long non-coding RNA is filed under the name Polistes dominula (European paper wasp). RNAcentral's name for it is "uncharacterized LOC107073637". Lineage: Eukaryota; Metazoa; Arthropoda; Insecta; Hymenoptera; Vespidae. The record is from RNAcentral.
AUUACAGAUAGAGGAGACAAAUCAUCUGCGAUGGUGUAAGUGGAAAUGUCUCUGCAUGAAUAUAGCUGCAAAAAACAAAAGGUUGAUGUUGACCUGACAAAAACAGAAUUACUUGAAAGAUGUUUACACUCAAAAUAAUAAUGAGUGCUUCAACAAAUGCGUUUGGGCUAUGGCGCCUAAACACCUAUUUAAUGGUACAAAAAUUGUUGAAAUAGCUUUUAAAUUCGCAGCUUGUAUAUUCAACGAAGGUUUUGACCCAAUACUGAAAAUAAUGCACGUUUUGGGGAUAAAAUUUGGCCCUAUCGCAGUCAAUUACGCUAGUAACCGCGACAACAUGCGUGUGCGCUCAGCCAAUCGUUUGAGCGGAGAAUCUUUGAUAGAGGCCAGGACACAACGAAAAAAGACUAAAGAGGAAGAAAAUGAGUAUUUUGAAGAAGCAGAAGGCAUACUAUAUGGUGCAGGCAUCGCAGAAUAAGAUCACCUGUUCUCAAAUUUCGAUGCCCGCCAACAGCAUACCUACUUUUGAAGGGUUCACGUUUGUCAGCCAUUUUGAAUGUCAAAAAAUGUUAAAAACAAU